Molecule: transfer RNA, 67 nt
Filed under: Canis lupus dingo (dingo)
Lineage: Eukaryota; Metazoa; Chordata; Mammalia; Carnivora; Canidae
Rfam family: tRNA
About the family: Transfer RNA (tRNA) molecules are approximately 80 nucleotides in length. Their secondary structure includes four short double-helical elements and three loops (D, anti-codon, and T loops).
Source: Rfam by way of RNAcentral
GCUGAGGUAGCUCAGUUGAGAGAGCGUUAGCCUGAAGAUCUAAAGGUCCCCCCCUCCCCCCUCAGCG